Molecule: ribosomal RNA, 692 nt
Filed under: Dothideomycetes sp. genotype 279
Lineage: Eukaryota; Fungi; Ascomycota; Dothideomycetes
Description: eukaryotic LSU rRNA
Rfam family: Eukaryotic large subunit ribosomal RNA (bases 154-692)
Source: RNAcentral
UCAAGCGCGAGCUUGGUGUUGGGGACCGCCCCGGGAGACCGGCGGCGGCCCUUGAAUCCAUCGGCGGUGCUGGUAGCAGCCCGGAGCGCAGCAGACAUGCGGCUUCCCGGGCGGCCCGGCGCCCGCCGGACAACGACGAGACCCUCCAAACGUCGACCUCGAAUCAGGUAGGGAUACCCGCUGAACUUAAGCAUAUCAAUAAGCGGAGGAAAAGAAACCAACAGGGAUUGCCUCAGUAACGGCGAGUGAAGCGGCAGCAGCUCAAAUUUGAAAUCUGGCGCCCCCCGGCGUCCGAGUUGUAAUUUGCAGAGGAUGCUUCGGCGUAGGCGCCGCCCAAAGUUCCUUGGAACGGGACGUCGCAGAGGGUGAGAGCCCCGUGUUCGGGCGGAUGCCUUCGCCGUGUGAAGCUCCUUCGACGAGUCGAGUUGUUUGGGAAUGCAGCUCAAAACGGGAGGUAAAUUUCUUCCAAAGCUAAAUACCGGCCGGAGACCGAUAGUGCACAAGUAGAGUGAUCGAAAGAUGAAAAGCACUUUGGAAAGAGAGUCAAACAGCGCGUGAAAUUGUUGAAAGGGAAGCGCUUGCGGUCAGAACUUGGCCGCCGUUGCUCGGGGAGGCCUCGCGCCUCCCUCGCUCUUCGGCGGCUGGGCCAGCAUCGGUUCGGGCGGCUCGAGAAAGGCCGCGGGAACGUAGCU